RNAcentral lists this unclassified non-coding RNA (221 nucleotides) under Hevea brasiliensis (rubber tree). Lineage: Eukaryota; Viridiplantae; Streptophyta; Magnoliopsida; Malpighiales; Euphorbiaceae. The record is from RNAcentral.
AAAAAGAAAAAGAAGACAAGAACCAGGAGAUGACUCUUCCCAACCAGCCUCACCUAGCUCCACCUCUCAGCUGAAUUACAAGGAUUUCCAAGAUGCCUUUCUCAGUAAAUUCUCCUUCCAUUUAUUCCUCCAGUCUUCUUCAUUUUGUUAGAAUCUCCAGGUGGCUCUUCUUCUGCAACUUCCUCUAACAAACCCAUCUUUCCAGCUGUACACUUCUAGAA